GAUGAACGCUGGCGGCGUGCCUAAUACAUGCAAGUCGAGCGAACAGACGAGGAGCUUGCUCCUCUGACGUUAGCGGCGGACGGGUGAGUAACACGUGGAUAACCUACCUAUAAGACUGGGAUAACUUCGGGAAACCGGAGCUAAUACCGGAUAAUAUAUUGAACCGCAUGGUUCAAUAGUGAAAGACGGUUUUGCUGUCACUUAUAGAUGGAUCCGCGCCGCAUUAGCUAGUUGGUAAGGUAACGGCUUACCAAGGCGACGAUGCGUGGCCGACCUGAGAGGGUGAUCGCACACACUGGAACUGAGACACGGUCCAGACUCCGACGGGAGGCAGCAGUAGGGAAUCUUACGCAAGGGGCGAAAGCCUGACGGAGCAACGCGGCGUGAGUGAUGAAGGUCUUCGGAUCGGAAAACGCUGUAAUUAGGGAAGAACAAAUGUGUAAGUAACUAGGCACGUACUGACGGUACCUAAUCAGAAAGCCACGGCUAACUACGUG
Molecule: ribosomal RNA, 497 nt
Filed under: uncultured bacterium
Lineage: Bacteria
Description: partial 16S ribosomal RNA
Rfam family: Bacterial small subunit ribosomal RNA
Source: RNAcentral